GGAAUGAGGUGAAGAGGAGAGCCAUUCUCUUGUGGCUGCCGUGUGUUGAAGAGAGGAAGAGAGAGAGAGUGUGGCGAGCUAGAGAGAGAAAGGGGAAGGGGCUGCCAUUUUCUAGAGAGAAGGAGGAAAGAAAGAAAGAAUGAGAGAAGGAGAGGAAGAAGAAGAGGGGAUUCGAAAUCCCUAGGUGUAGGUGCUCAAGAGGAGAAUCAACCUUGUGGUUUUGAUUUCUAUCAAGGAGGUAGCAAAUAAGUUUCUCUAUGGCACACGUGGUGAUGUGGGGAGUUCUAUCAUCGUGGUGUGUAUGGAGUGGGGGCAUCCUAUGGACGGAAAACGAUCAAUUAAAAACACCAUUUUUUUAAUAUUGUUAUGUUUUAUAAGACUUUUUACACUUAUCAGUGGGACUUGAAUUAUUGGUUGUUUUAGAACUUUGCAUAAAACUGAUAUUUUCUUUUAAAA
Humulus lupulus (European hop) is the source of this 456-nucleotide long non-coding RNA. RefSeq lists it as uncharacterized. The transcript has 3 exons. Lineage: Eukaryota; Viridiplantae; Streptophyta; Magnoliopsida; Rosales; Cannabaceae. The record is from RefSeq and is a predicted model, not a curated record.